UUAAGCGACUAAGCGUACACGGUGGAUGCCCUGGCAGUCAGAGGCGAUGAAGGACGUGCUAAUCUGCGAUAAGCGUCGGUAAGGUGAUAUGAACCGUUAUAACCGGCGAUUUCCGAAUGGGGAAACCCAGUGUGAUUCGUCACACUAUCAUUAACUGAAUCCAUAGGUUAAUGAGGCGAACCGGGGGAACUGAAACAUCUAAGUACCCCGAGGAAAAGAAAUCAACCGAGAUUCCCCCAGUAGCGGCGAGCGAACGGGGAGCAGCCCAGAGCCUGAAUCAGUGUGUGUGUUAGUGGAAGCGUCUGGAAAGGCGCGCGAUACAGGGUGACAGCCCCGUACACAAAAAUGCACAUGUUGUGAGCUCGAUGAGUAGGGCGGGACACGUGGUAUCCUGUCUGAAUAUGGGGGGACCAUCCUCCAAGGCUAAAUACUCCUGACUGACCGAUAGUGAACCAGUACCGUGAGGGAAAGGCGAAAAGAACCCCGGCGAGGGGAGUGAAAAAGAACCUGAAACCGUGUACGUACAAGCAGUGGGAGCACGCUUAGGCGUGUGACUGCGUACCUUUUGUAUAAUGGGUCAGCGACUUAUAUUCUGUAGCAAGGUUAACCGAAUAGGGGAGCCGAAGGGAAACCGAGUCUUAACUGGGCGUUAAGUUGCAGGGUAUAGACCCGAAACCCGGUGAUCUAGCCAUGGGCAGGUUGAAGGUUGGGUAACACUAACUGGAGGACCGAACCGACUAAUGUUGAAAAAUUAGCGGAUGACUUGUGGCUGGGGGUGAAAGGCCAAUCAAACCGGGAGAUAGCUGGUUCUCCCCGAAAGCUAUUUAGGUAGCGCCUCGUGAAUUCAUCUCCGGGGGUAGAGCACUGUUUCGGCAAGGGGGUCAUCCCGACUUACCAACCCGAUGCAAACUACGAAUACCGGAGAAUGUUAUCACGGGAGACACACGGCGGGUGCUAACGUCCGUCGUGAAGAGGGAAACAACCCAGACCGCCAGCUAAGGUCCCAAAGUCAUGGUUAAGUGGGAAACGAUGUGGGAAGGCCCAGACAGCCAGGAUGUUGGCUUAGAAGCAGCCAUCAUUUAAAGAAAGCGUAAUAGCUCACUGGUCGAGUCGGCCUGCGCGGAAGAUGUAACGGGGCUAAACCAUGCACCGAAGCUGCGGCAGCGACGCUGAUGCGUUGUUGGGUAGGGGAGCGUUCUGUAAGCCUGCGAAGGUGUGCUGUGAGGCAUGCUGGAGGUAUCAGAAGUGCGAAUGCUGACAUAAGUAACGAUAAAGCGGGUGAAAAGCCCGCUCGCCGGAAGACCAAGGGUUCCUGUCCAACGUUAAUCGGGGCAGGGUGAGUCGACCCCUAAGGCGAGGCCGAAAGGCGUAGUCGAUGGGAAACAGGUUAAUAUUCCUGUACUUGGUGUUACUGCGAAGGGGGGACGGAGAAGGCUAUGUUGGCCGGGCGACGGUUGUCCCGGUUUAAGCGUGUAGGCUGGUUUUCCAGGCAAAUCCGGAAAAUCAAGGCUGAGGCGUGAUGACGAGGCACUACGGUGCUGAAGCAACAAAUGCCCUGCUUCCAGGAAAAGCCUCUAAGCAUCAGGUAACAUCAAAUCGUACCCCAAACCGACACAGGUGGUCAGGUAGAGAAUACCAAGGCGCUUGAGAGAACUCGGGUGAAGGAACUAGGCAAAAUGGUGCCGUAACUUCGGGAGAAGGCACGCUGAUAUGUAGGUGAAGUCCCUCGCGGAUGGAGCUGAAAUCAGUCGAAGAUACCAGCUGGCUGCAACUGUUUAUUAAAAACACAGCACUGUGCAAACACGAAAGUGGACGUAUACGGUGUGACGCCUGCCCGGUGCCGGAAGGUUAAUUGAUGGGGUUAGCGCAAGCGAAGCUCUUGAUCGAAGCCCCGGUAAACGGCGGCCGUAACUAUAACGGUCCUAAGGUAGCGAAAUUCCUUGUCGGGUAAGUUCCGACCUGCACGAAUGGCGUAAUGAUGGCCAGGCUGUCUCCACCCGAGACUCAGUGAAAUUGAACUCGCUGUGAAGAUGCAGUGUACCCGCGGCAAGACGGAAAGACCCCGUGAACCUUUACUAUAGCUUGACACUGAACAUUGAGCCUUGAUGUGUAGGAUAGGUGGGAGGCUUUGAAGUGUGGACGCCAGUCUGCAUGGAGCCGACCUUGAAAUACCACCCUUUAAUGUUUGAUGUUCUAACGUGGACCCGUAAUCCGGGUUGCGGACAGUGUCUGGUGGGUAGUUUGACUGGGGCGGUCUCCUCCUAAAGAGUAACGGAGGAGCACGAAGGUUGGCUAAUCCUGGUCGGACAUCAGGAGGUUAGUGCAAUGGCAUAAGCCAGCUUGACUGCGAGCGUGACGGCGCGAGCAGGUGCGAAAGCAGGUCAUAGUGAUCCGGUGGUUCUGAAUGGAAGGGCCAUCGCUCAACGGAUAAAAGGUACUCCGGGGAUAACAGGCUGAUACCGCCCAAGAGUUCAUAUCGACGGCGGUGUUUGGCACCUCGAUGUCGGCUCAUCACAUCCUGGGGCUGAAGUAGGUCCCAAGGGUAUGGCUGUUCGCCAUUUAAAGUGGUACGCGAGCUGGGUUUAGAACGUCGUGAGACAGUUCGGUCCCUAUCUGCCGUGGGCGCUGGAGAACUGAGGGGGGCUGCUCCUAGUACGAGAGGACCGGAGUGGACGCAUCACUGGUGUUCGGGUUGUCAUGCCAAUGGCACUGCCCGGUAGCUAAAUGCGGAAGAGAUAAGUGCUGAAAGCAUCUAAGCACGAAACUUGCCCCGAGAUGAGUUCUCCCUGACUCCUUGAGAGUCCUGAAGGAACGUUGAAGACGACGACGUUGAUAGGCCGGGUGUGUAAGCGCAGCGAUGCGUUGAGCUAACCGGUACUAAUGAACCGUGAGGCUUAACCUU
RNAcentral lists this ribosomal RNA (2902 nucleotides) under Escherichia coli O178:H19. Its description in RNAcentral is "bacterial LSU rRNA". It matches the Rfam family "Bacterial large subunit ribosomal RNA". The record is from RNAcentral. Lineage: Bacteria; Pseudomonadati; Pseudomonadota; Gammaproteobacteria; Enterobacterales; Enterobacteriaceae.